AGCUCUUGUUCAUGUGCUGGAAUACAUGGCAGCCUUGUCAUGUAGUGGGAAGAUUAGUUAUCUUUUUUGGCCUGUGGAAUUUGAUUCUAUUAAUUACCCUAUACAUGUUCUGACUGCUAUAAGACACAUAUAUAUAGGAAUAUAAGCACGACCUAAUCUAGAACAAGGGUCAAAUUGUUUAUAUCCAAAAAAGAGACCACUUCCCUCACAUUCACAUGCCAUUGCUUUUCUGUUUACCUCUGACCAAAAACGGGAAAUCAAAGAUCCCAAGUCCAAAAGAAGAUGAAAAGAAGAAAAGAUGAAUCUAUGCACAUGAUAUGCGGGGGGGAACAGUUUUGUGGCUUCAUUUUCUUCUCACACAUAAUUUCCCACAAAUUCAGUGUCACGCCUUAAGAAAAGUGAAAAAAAGUUUAGAGAAAUGAUAAAACUAAUGUUAUGAUUAGUCUAGUAUUGGGUAGAUAGAGGAGUUAUUGAUUAAGAAAAAAGAAGAAAGGAGGAUGUUGUUGUGGUGUGGAUGAGGUCACAUAUAGUAGGGUUUUAGGUAUAGGUAUAUGAGAGUAAUAAUGAAAGAGAAUUUGGUUUAAUUAGAAGAUGAAGGGUGUUUUGUAUUAGACCUUGACAUGUGUGUAUAUUCUAGUUUUCCUUGAAGGAAAGGGAAGUGGGCAAUAAGAUGAAGGAUUGGGUUGGCUCGUUGUUCAAAGUAGUUGGUGCAUUAAAAAUAUGCAGAUAUAUAGAAAGAGUGUGAAGUUGGAUUAAUUAAUUAAGCAAAUGGGGGAGGAGAAAGUGAAAGUGAUUGGAGGAAAUGAAAAGAAAAUGAUGUAUAACGGUUCUUUUUGUGAGUAGAAUAGAUGAUUGUUGGUUGCUACUGAGAGAGGGUAUGUCUCCAUCUUCAUUUGCUUGGGACGCGUACCCAUUUGCCAAAUGCAGUGCCUUUUUCUCAUCGAUAACGUAGCCAUUCUCACAUGCAACACCAUUGGAGGAUUCAAAACAUGGCUCCAUACUUCAUGCACACUCC
Molecule: long non-coding RNA, 1015 nt
Filed under: Vigna radiata
Lineage: Eukaryota; Viridiplantae; Streptophyta; Magnoliopsida; Fabales; Fabaceae
Description: long non-coding RNA (VRAD_LNC008872)
Source: RNAcentral